This 71-nucleotide transfer RNA is filed under the name Loxodonta africana (African savanna elephant). It matches the Rfam family "tRNA". Rfam says of the family: Transfer RNA (tRNA) molecules are approximately 80 nucleotides in length. The record is from Rfam by way of RNAcentral. Lineage: Eukaryota; Metazoa; Chordata; Mammalia; Proboscidea; Elephantidae.
ACAGUGGUUGUUCAGCGGUAGAAUUCUCACCUUCCAGGCAGGAGACCCAGGUUCGAUUCCCGACCACUGCA